AGAGUUUGAUCCUGGCUCAGGACGAACGCUGGCGGCGUGCCUAAUGCAUGCAAGUCGAGCGGGCUACAGUCUUCGGAUUGUAGCUUAGCGGCGAACGGGUGAGUAACACGUAGGUAAUCUACCCUUCAGAGGAGGACAACCUCAGGAAACUGAGGCUAAACCUUCAUACGUUCACUGGUAGGGAUACUGGUGAAGAAAGAGUUACCGUUGAGGUAGCUGCUGAAGGAUGAGCCUGCGGCCCAUCAGGUAGUUGGUGAGGUAACGGCUCACCAAGCCGAAGACGGGUAACCGGUCUGAGAGGAUGUCCGGUCACACUGGGACUGAGACACGGCCCAGACUCCUACGGGAGGCAGCAGCAGGGAAUCUUGGGCAAUGGGCGAAAGCCUGACCCAGCGACGCCGCGUGGAGGAAGAAGUCCUUCGGGGCGUAAACUCCUGGACUGGGGGACGAGGAAGGACGGUACCCCAGUAGAAAGGGACGGCUAACUACGUGCCAGCAGCCGCGGUAAAACGUAGGUCCCGAGCGUUGUUCGGAUUCACUGGGUGUAAAGGGCGCGUAGGUGGUUGUCUGUGUCUCAUGUGAAAACUCAGGGCUCAACUCUGAGAUUGCGUGGGAAACUAGGCAGCUAGAGGACGGUAGAGGGGAGUGGAAUUCCCGGUGUAGCGGUAAAAUGCGUAGAUAUCGGGAGGAACACCGGUGGCGAAGGCGGCUCUCUGGGCCGAUCCUGACGCUGAGGCGCGAAAGCUAGGGGAGCGAACCGGAUUAGAUACCCGGGUAGUCCUAGCCGUAAACGAUGGGUGCUAGGUGUUG
RNAcentral lists this ribosomal RNA (810 nucleotides) under uncultured bacterium. RNAcentral's name for it is "bacterial SSU rRNA". It matches the Rfam family "Bacterial small subunit ribosomal RNA", at positions 8 to 825 of the family's 1533-position model. The record is from RNAcentral.